CCGGCCGCCAGCGGCGCUCGCAAAGUUCGGAUCCGCAAGGACCGGGCCAGCGGGACGUCCCCGUGGCUGUGGUGCACUUUCUCCGCGGUCGAGUGCUACGACCGGUUUCGAGGCGGUCAGAAGCCCGGCGGAAAGGUAGCGCCGCCCUUCGGGGUGUCGUGUUAUAGGCCGCCGCGGUGGACUCGCCGCGAGACCGAGGACGCUUGCCGCGCCGAGCGGUCCCGGGCCGUCUUGGGAGGUUCGACCUCGGCUGCACUGCUCCGCAGAGCACCGUAACCGCCGCCCUAGCACGGGUCCGGAGACCGCCGGCGCCUCGGGUCAGUAGCG
RNAcentral lists this ribosomal RNA (327 nucleotides) under Corbicula sp. AB13b. Its description in RNAcentral is "partial 28S ribosomal RNA". Lineage: Eukaryota; Metazoa; Mollusca; Bivalvia; Venerida; Cyrenidae. The record is from RNAcentral.